UGGAAAUGUUUAACAAAGCAACCCCCCCCCCCCUAAGUAACUAAAUGCUACCCAUCUUAAGUACUGUGAAGGAAAUAAGUCCCUACAAAAAGAAAAUUUCUACCUUUUGUAUCAGGGGGUUAUAAAAUAAAGUUUAAAACGUAUCCCGAAAUAAAGAGAGCUAUGUCUAUUUUCUACCUUUGUAUCAAAAAAGCUUUUAAGAUGGCAUUGAAGAGAAAUUCUAUCCGAUCUUUAUAUAACUGGUUGAUCUGGAGAGUAAUUUAAUUACACCUUUUCUACCUUAAGAGAAAGGUUACAGAAAGAUUAGGAUCACUAUUCUUUAUUUUCAAAUUAUUAGUUAUCCCCAAGAGGUUUAAUACCCCUUCUUGAUGCACCAACUCAAAUUUAUGUACCUACAGAUCAUUUUCUAACAAAGCAAAUAACCUACAAUAUGGCCAUAAGUAAGUAUACCCACUUUGUUGUACUCAAGAAUACAGUAAAGACUUCAAACUACGGAGAAGGAACUCGACAAAAAAAUCUUUCGACUGUUUAACAAAAACUUCUCCUUAACAGUUUAAGGUAUAGCCUGCCCAGUGAAAAUCAACGGCCGCAGUAUCCUGACUGUGCUAAGGUAGCAUAAUCAUUUGUCUUUUAAAUGGAGUCUAGAAUGAAAGGCUGAACGAAAAGAUAAUUGUCUCCUCCGCACCCACAUAACUUCACAUUCUAGUAAAAAGGCUGGAAUUCAUUAGAGGGACGAUAAGACCCUACAAAGCUUUACCCCCAUAUUUUAACCAAACCUCCAGAGAAUACGGCAAAAUACAGGGGAUUUGCUGGGAUGGCUUAUAUUAAUUAUAAACAAUCUAUAAUGGAACUUCUUGAGAGGAGCUUACUAUCUUGGUUUAGAGAUAAAACUAGCUACUUUAGGGAUAACAGCGUAAUCCUCCUUUAAAGACCUAAUUGGAAGGAGGGAUUGCGACCUCGAUGUUGAAUUGAAAUUACUUUGCUUUGCAGCAGAAGCAUUAGUGAGUCUGUUCGACUUUUAAAAUUUCACAUGAUUUGAGUUCAGACCGGUGUAAGCCAGGUUGGUUUCUAUCUUCUAAAAAUCUAUUUUAGAGAUUGUACGAAAGGACCUCUUUAAAUUAAAUAUUAAAUCGAGAGACUACUUGUGUUCUUAAAUAUAUA
RNAcentral lists this ribosomal RNA (1161 nucleotides) under Orthione mesoamericana. Its description in RNAcentral is "16S ribosomal RNA". The stretch from base 725 to 1079 matches the Rfam family "Archaeal large subunit ribosomal RNA", at positions 2149 to 2717 of the family's 2987-position model. The record is from RNAcentral. Lineage: Eukaryota; Metazoa; Arthropoda; Malacostraca; Isopoda; Bopyridae.